GGCUGGGUAGCUCAGUUGGUAGAGCAGAGGACUGAAAAUCCUCGUGUCGGCGGUUCGAUUCCGCCCCCAGCCACCA
RNAcentral lists this transfer RNA (76 nucleotides) under Verrucomicrobiota bacterium. RNAcentral's name for it is "Verrucomicrobia bacterium (groundwater metagenome) tRNA-Phe". It matches the Rfam family "tRNA". From Rfam's summary of the family: Transfer RNA (tRNA) molecules are approximately 80 nucleotides in length. Their secondary structure includes four short double-helical elements and three loops (D, anti-codon, and T loops). The record is from RNAcentral. Lineage: Bacteria; Pseudomonadati; Verrucomicrobiota. RNAcentral also lists the same sequence under 1 other name.